Molecule: ribosomal RNA, 427 nt
Filed under: uncultured bacterium
Lineage: Bacteria
Description: partial 16S ribosomal RNA
Rfam family: Bacterial small subunit ribosomal RNA
Source: RNAcentral
UGGGGAAUAUUGGACAAUGGGCGAAAGCCUGAUCCAGCCAUGCCGCGUGUGUGAAGAAGGUCUUCGGAUUGUAAAGCACUUUAAGUUGGGAGGAAGGGCAUUAACCUAAUACGUUAGUGUUUUGACGUUACCGACAGAAUAAGCACCGGCUAACUCUGUGCCAGAAGCCGCGGUAAUACAGAGGGUGCAAGCGUUAAUCGGAAUUACUGGGCGUAAAGCGCGCGUAGGUGGUCUGUUAAGUUGGAUGUGAAAUCCCCGGGCUCAACCUGGGAACUGCAUUCAAAACUGACUGACUAGAGUAUGGUAGAGGGUGGUGGAAUUUCCUGUGUAGCGGUGAAAUGCGUAGAUAUAGGAAGGAACACCAGUGGCGAAGGCGACCACCUGGACUAAUACUGACACUGAGGUGCGAAAGCGUGGGGAGCAAACA